Molecule: ribosomal RNA, 497 nt
Filed under: uncultured bacterium
Lineage: Bacteria
Description: partial 16S ribosomal RNA
Rfam family: Bacterial small subunit ribosomal RNA
Source: RNAcentral
GAUGAACGCUGGCGGCGUGCCUAAUACAUGCAAGUCGAGCGAACAGACGAGGAGCUUGCUCCUCUGACGUUAGCGGCGGACGGGUGAGUAACACGUGGAUAACCCACCUAUAAGACUGGGAUAACUUAGGGAAACCGGAGCUAAUACCAGAUAACAUGUUGAACCGCAUGGUUCAACAGUGAAAGACGGUCUUGCUGUCACUUCUCGAUGGAUCGGGGCCGCAUUGCCUGGUGGGUAAGGUAACGGCUUACCAAGGCAACGAUGCGUAGCUGACCGGAGAGAGGGACCGGCCCAACGGGAACGGAGACACGGUCCAGACUCCUACGGGAGGAAGCAGUAGGGAAUCUGCCGCAAUGGGCGAAAGCCUGACGGAGCAACGCCGCGUGAGUGAGGAAGGUCUUCGGUUGGUAAGACUCGUUUAGUAGGGAAGAACAAAUUGGGAAGAAACGAUGCACGUCGUGACGGUACCUAAUCAGAAAGCAACGGCUAACUACGUG